This 468-nucleotide ribosomal RNA is filed under the name uncultured bacterium. Its description in RNAcentral is "partial 16S ribosomal RNA". It matches the Rfam family "Bacterial small subunit ribosomal RNA", at positions 28 to 507 of the family's 1533-position model. The record is from RNAcentral.
GACGAACGCUGGCGGCGUGCUUAACACAUGCAAGUCGAACGGGAAGGCCCUGCUUUUGGGGGGUGCUCGAGUGGCGACCGGGUGAGUAGCACGUGGGUUACCUGCCAUUGACUUUGGGAUAACUUCAGAACACUGGGGCUCAUCCCGGAUAGGAGCUCCUGCUGCAUGGUGGGGGUUGGUUAGUUUCGGCGGUUGGGGGUGGACUCGCGGCUUAUCACCUUGUUGGUGGGGUGGUGGGUUAGCAAGGCAAGGACGGGUUGCCUGGCUGCGAGGGGAACCGGCCACAUCGGAACUGAGAUGAGACCCAGACUCCAACGCGAGGCAGCAGUGGGGAAGAGUGUACUAUGGGAGGAAGCCUGACGCAGUACCGCAGCGCGGGGGAUGAGGGCAUUCGGUUUGUAAACCGCUUUCGUCUGACACGAAACGUGAGUGACGGUAACGGGUAAAGAAGCACCGGCUAACUACGUG